This 492-nucleotide ribosomal RNA is filed under the name uncultured bacterium. Its description in RNAcentral is "partial 16S ribosomal RNA". It matches the Rfam family "Bacterial small subunit ribosomal RNA", at positions 29 to 507 of the family's 1533-position model. The record is from RNAcentral.
AGUGAACGCUGGCGGUGGGCCUAACACAUGCAAGUCGAACGGCAGCACACUAAGAGCUUGCUCUUACGGGUGGCGGGUGGCGGGCGUGUCAGGAAUACAACGUACUCUACUUUUUCGUGGAGGAUCACGAAGGUAAACUUACGCUAAUACCGCAUACGACCUUCCGUUGAAAGCAGGGGAUCUUCGCACCUGGCGCGAUUGAAUGAGCCGAUGUGGGAUUAGCUAGUUGGCGGGUUAAAGGCCCACCAAGUCGAGGAUCCGUAGCUGGUCUGAGAGGAUGGUCGCCCACAUUGGAGCUGAGCCACCGUCCAGAGGCCUGCGGGAGGCAGCAGUCUCGAAUAUUGGGCAACGGUGGCGAGCCUGAUCCAGUGAGCCCGCGUGUGUGAAGAAGGCGUUCGGUUCGGAAAGACCUUUUGUUGGGAAAGAACAGCUGCAGGUUAAGACGCAGCGGUUCUGACGGUACUCAAUGAAGAAGCACCGGCUAACUACGUG